Molecule: ribosomal RNA, 425 nt
Filed under: uncultured bacterium
Lineage: Bacteria
Description: bacterial SSU rRNA
Rfam family: Bacterial small subunit ribosomal RNA
Source: RNAcentral
GGGGAAUUUUGGACAAUGGGCGAAAGCCUGAUCCAGCCAUGCCGCGUGCAGGAUGAAGGCCUUCGGGUUGUAAACUGCUUUUGUACGGAACGAAAAGACUCUGGUUAAUACCUGGGGUCCAUGACGGUACCGUAAGAAUAAGCACCGGCUAACUACGUGCCAGCAGCCGCGGUAAUACGUAGGGUGCAAGCGUUAAUCGGAAUUACUGGGCGUAAAGCGUGCGCAGGCGGUUUUGUAAGACAGAGGUGAAAUCCCCGGGCUCAACCUGGGAACUGCCUUUGUGACUGCAAGGCUGGAGUGCGGCAGAGGGGGAUGGAAUUCCGCGUGUAGCAGUGAAAUGCGUAGAUAUGCGGAGGAACACCGAUGGCGAAGGCAAUCCCCUGGGCCUGCACUGACGCUCAUGCACGAAAGCGUGGGGAGCAAAC